RNAcentral lists this unclassified non-coding RNA (323 nucleotides) under Hevea brasiliensis (rubber tree). The record is from RNAcentral. Lineage: Eukaryota; Viridiplantae; Streptophyta; Magnoliopsida; Malpighiales; Euphorbiaceae.
GCCAAUGCUUCUGCGACUGCGUGUGCUAUCUCUAUCGCAUUAUGAUAAUGUAGUUGUGCUACCGGAUUCAAUUGGCAAGUUCAAACAUUUAAGAUAUUUGAGUUUUGCUGGAACGCCUAUUAAGAGAUUACCAGAAUCUGUCUGCAGUUUGUACAAUUUACAAACUUUAAUCUUGAUGAAGUGCAAAGAUCUAGUUGAGUUGCCAGCCAACAUGGGGAAGCUAAUGAACUUGUGUCAUCUUGAAAUUACUGAUACAAGCUUGAAAGAGAUGCCACUACACAUGGGGAAACUAACAAAGCUCAGAAAGUUAACCGAUUUUGUUU